GAAUAAGAAAAAAACACUUUUAACAAAAAACCUUAGGUAACAUAAACUAAUACUUUUAUCAAAUUAUUACUGCUCCUCCCUUUGCUCCCAUCCGCCGCCGCAGCCUGUCAUCCCCGACUGUCGCCCGCCACCGCCCGCUACCCCCGCUGCCGUCGCCUCCUCAUCAGCUCAGCACCUCCAUGAUUCGCCUUCUCUCUUCUUCGACGAACAGCUGCUCGACGAGUGCUCGCCUCAAACAGCCGCACCCGCACAGGCACACACAAGCAAGCGCGCCUCCAUCGUCGCUCGCCGUCCGCCACCAUCGAUGUCAGCAUCAGCAGCAAGCGCUAUCGCCACCUCCGUCACCUCCAUCCAACGGCAGUCACCGGCUCAGCCAGAGUAUAAAUUGAUAGGUUUCUGAUUGAUACUUUGGAAACAAAGCUUGGUCUGAGAAAUAUGGCAUUGCUUGGAACUAGGCUCCUGUUGAUAAACUACAUUGGUUCUGUUUCAGUAGCAAUUUACUUACCUCAGAUAGCUCCAUUUUUUAUCGUACACUUAAUGGUAUCAACUCGAGUGUUAAUCUAGUAGUCUCUCAACAUCUCUUGACCGAAGUUCUAGUUUAUAUAGUCGUAAAAAAGUAGGAACUUCAGAACUGAUUGCACAGUUAUAAGUUUGGUUAAAUUAGUAGAUUUUCACUGUUGUUGGUUUGUCAUUUUCGUAACUUGUUGGGCAUUAGAAUUUCAUUAUACUAAGAUUCUUAUAUCGAUCCCUGUCUUCAUAUGCUCUAGAGUGAAUGUGGGGGUGGGUGGGAGGGGUAAUAUGAGCUGUCUAGUUAGGGUUUCUACAGAACUGAUUGCACAGUCAUAUGUUUGGUUAACUUAGUAAAUUUGACUUACUGCAGAGAGUAGAAUCAGGGGUCUUGGCAAAAACAAUCUUAUUGAUCCUGAAUUUCCAUAGUGUUUAUGAUCUGCAACUAAAGUAAAUCUCGCCUAAUAAAAAUAAGCAAAGAUGGAUUUUGACAGAAUGAGAGCUGGAGUAGAGGAAAUAUCAGUUUCUGAUGGAUUUGUCGUAGAUAUCGAAGUCUUCUUUCAUCUUACAGAAGAAGCAAGUGAAUGCAUGGUAGAGAGUAGAGAGAGGUAGUGUUUUUGUAUGUUUAAUUUGUGUAUGAUGGGGCUUUUGCAGGCACUUUAUGUUUUGAGUUAUUAAUGGAGCUCAACACAAAGGCAAUACAUAGGUAUUAUCUUCGUGUUGCUCACAUUGCAGAUUGUGUGAUAGAUACAUUCCUUAAUCCUAAGUGAAUAAAGAAAAAAGUGUUGGAUCAUCUUUGAUGUUGGGCAUAGAGAGUCAAUGGGCUCCUAUUGCUCUUCGUUGUAUGGUGAAAGGCUGCUCAAUGAGCUCUCAAAGCAAUGGGUAAAACAAAACAAAAACAUGAUAUGUUUUCUUCUAUAUAGGCCUGUACAAAUGUGUGGUAGAGCAUAUACUUCAAUUUUCAACUGAAGGAUGAAAGUUUGAAUGGAUGAAUGGAUUGCUUUGGACUGAAAGCUGCUUCAUAGUAUCAUUUUUUGUUGAAGAUUGUAAAUGACUACUCUAGCUACUUAGAUACAUUACUUGGCUGGUUAAAUAAUGGAUGGUUAAGUUAUUUGAAUAUUUUGACAUUUUGAUUAUGGAUGGAUGAAGUUAUUUGGAUGAUUAAAUAUUUAUAUAAUAGUAUAUGUUUUGGUUGUA
Salvia miltiorrhiza (redroot sage) is the source of this 1704-nucleotide long non-coding RNA. RefSeq lists it as uncharacterized. NCBI's taxonomy places the organism in Eukaryota, Viridiplantae, Streptophyta, Magnoliopsida, Lamiales, Lamiaceae. The transcript has 5 exons. The record is from RefSeq and is a predicted model, not a curated record.